This 1432-nucleotide ribosomal RNA is filed under the name uncultured bacterium. RNAcentral describes it as "bacterial SSU rRNA". It matches the Rfam family "Bacterial small subunit ribosomal RNA". The record is from RNAcentral.
AGAGUUUGAUCCUGGCUCAGGACGAACGCUGGCGGCGUGCCUAAUACAUGCAAGUCGAACGCACUCUCGUUUAGAUUGAAGGAGCUUGCUCCUGAUUGAUAAACAUUUGAGUGAGUGGCGGACGGGUGAGUAACACGUGGGUAACCUGCCCUAAAGUGGGGGAUAACAUUUGGAAACAGGUGCUAAUACCGCAUAAAACCUAACACCGCAUGGUGUAGGGUUGAAAGAUGGUUUCGGCUAUCACUUUAGGAUGGACCCGCGGUGCAUUAGUUAGUUGGUGAGGUAAAGGCUCACCAAGACCGUGAUGCAUAGCCGACCUGAGAGGGUAAUCGGCCACACUGGGACUGAGACACGGCCCAGACUCCUACGGGAGGCAGCAGUAGGGAAUCUUCCACAAUGGACGAAAGUCUGAUGGAGCAACGCCGCGUGAGUGAAGAAGGUUUUCGGAUCGUAAAACUCUGUUGUUGGAGAAGAAUGUAUCUGAUAGUAACUGAUCAGGUAGUGACGGUAUCCAACCAGAAAGCCACGGCUAACUACGUGCCAGCAGCCGCGGUAAUACGUAGGUGGCAAGCGUUGUCCGGAUUUAUUGGGCGUAAAGCGAGCGCAGGCGGUUUCUUAAGUCUGAUGUGAAAGCCUUCGGCUCAACCGAAGAAGUGCAUCGGAAACUGGGAAACUUGAGUGCAGAAGAGGACAGUGGAACUCCAUGUGUAGCGGUGAAAUGCGUAGAUAUAUGGAAGAACACCAGUGGCGAAGGCGGCUGUCUGGUCUGUAACUGACGCUGAGGCUCGAAAGCAUGGGUAGCAAACAGGAUUAGAUACCCUGGUAGUCCAUGCCGUAAACGAUGAGUGCUAGGUGUUGGAGGGUUUCCGCCUCUUAGUGCCGAAGCUAACGCAUUAAGUGUUCCGCCUGGGGAGUACGACCGCAAGGUUGAAACUCAAAGGAAUUGACGGGGACCCGCACAAGCGGUGGAGCAUGUGGUUUAAUUCGAAGCAACGCGAAGAACCUUACCAGGUCUUGACAUCCUUUGAAGCUUUUAGAGAUAGAAGUGUUCUCUUCGGAGACAAAGUGACAGGUGGUGCAUGGUCGUCGUCAGCUCGUGUCGUGAGAUGUUGGGUUAAGUCCCGCAACGAGCGCAACCCUUAUUGUUAGUUGCCAGCAUUCAGAUGGGCACUCUAGCGAGACUGCCGGUGACAAACCGGAGGAAGGCGGGGACGACGUCAGAUCAUCAUGCCCCUUAUGACCUGGGCUACACACGUGCUACAAUGGCGUAUACAACGAGUUGCCAACCCGCGAGGGUGAGCUAAUCUCUUAAAGUACGUCUCAGUUCGGAUUGUAGUCUGCAACUCGACUACAUGAAGUCGGAAUCGCUAGUAAUCGCGGAUCAGCACGCCGCGGUGAAUACGUUCCCGGGUCUUGCACUCACCGCCCGUCA